RNAcentral lists this transfer-messenger RNA (354 nucleotides) under Peptostreptococcaceae bacterium. It matches the Rfam family "transfer-messenger RNA". Rfam says of the family: Bacterial tmRNA, also known as 10Sa RNA or SsrA, is named for its dual tRNA and mRNA-like properties. Its role is to liberate the mRNA from a stalled ribosome. The record is from RNAcentral. Lineage: Bacteria; Bacillati; Bacillota; Clostridia; Peptostreptococcales; Peptostreptococcaceae.
GGGGAUGUAAUGGUUUCGACAGGGGUGUUGAAGUGGGAUAAGCGAGCCGUAGUUGCCAAGUCUACGUAAAAAGUGGCCGUUAAAUACAAACGCUAAAAAUAAUAACAAUUUCGCACUAGCUGCAUAGCAGCACCGCGCGUCUUCUGAGAUUCACCUGUAGAUCACAGGUAAGACGUCAGACAUACAGGACAACCUUGCAAGAGUUCUCGGUAUUGUAAGGGACUAACGAGAUAGCGAAUUCUUUAGCUUGCUAAUAGGCGAUUGAAUUUGCGAAAUAUAAAUUGUUAGCUUCGCUCGAAGAAAGUCUCAUGAAUGUGCUUUUGGACGUGGGUUCGAUUCCCACCAUUUCCACCA